RNAcentral lists this long non-coding RNA (1724 nucleotides) under Canis lupus familiaris (dog). RNAcentral's name for it is "lncRNA (ENSCAFG00845015438.1)". The record is from RNAcentral. Lineage: Eukaryota; Metazoa; Chordata; Mammalia; Carnivora; Canidae.
CUUGGGCCUCCCCUGGGGCCCCCAGAAGCCCGCUUGCCCAGCAGCCUCACCCGACCCCAAAGUAGUCCCAGAACAUGACCGUGAUGUGGUUGGGGAAGCUUCUGUUGAUAUCUAGAUCUAUCUGUUUGAUGUCCUGGGAGGAGACCUGGGCCGCCUCCUUCAUUUCCUGUGGCGAAAACCGGGGAGGAGGAGCCAGCAUCAGGGACACAGAACACUAACUGUCACCAACUGUCAUCCUAAGCAGGAGCUCUGCUGGUCACCGUGUCCACUUCUACGAGGACCUUGUCGAAGGAGGCACGAGUUGAUGGCAAGCCAGAAGGGGGCCCUGCAGGCAUUCUUCCAGGAGAACCCUUACCCUGGAUCGCUGCCAGAGAACACCUGGCCCAAGAACUGGCCAUACCUGAGUCCAGAAUCCAGGGGAGAGGAAGCCUGCGCAAGGGUCCAAUUGUGAUGAGAAUGACACCCAUUUCCAGCGUCUUCUUGUGUCAAAGUCUCCUCAGCUCCCUCAGGGGACUGCAGCAGGAACCCCAUCAUCUGUCCAUGCAGAUGACCAAAGAAGAAAUGACUUUUCUACCAACACCAUCCAUUGUGUGUUUCCCUACAGUUUACGCUCCUCAGGGGAGACCAACGCCUUCUUCCUUGUACACCAAAGGGCCAUGCAAAUACAUGUAACAAUGUAGGCAAUAAGCCAGCUCUGGCUUUCAGUGGGGUGUUAGUUGGUCUUGGGUCCUCGAGUCCCUGCAUGUGUGUGGGCUAAGCUGCCCUCCCGUGUUACCUGGCCAUUGCUUCUUCUUUUGCCCCUUAGGUCUGGUGCCAAAACCAGUGAAGGAUACAGCGAAGGCAGAGCCGCUGACUGGGCUCCACAAUCCGCCAAGGAGAAGGGCCACUGCGUGGACAGGAAGAGCCUCCAGGUCGAGUCCGAAGGAAGGCAGGAAAAAACUGACAUCCAUUUCUGCAUCACAAACCAGUAUCUUCCUUCAAGCCUUUGAGGAGGAGCGGUUUCCUGGCAUUGCUAUGAGGGAGAGCCCAGCCAGAAGAACAGGCAUUCCAGUAGCCAGAAUUCAGGUGAGUUUUUACCAUGUGUCAUGGGCGUUGUUCGCUGUGGAAGGGACGGUAGCCCUUAGAUGUUGUCGGAGAGACAUGAACUUCUUGGGGGGUUAACCACGGAGUGUGGAGCAGAGGCACCAGGGGCAUAGUGUUGACCAUGCCAGUGAGAACCUGUCCAAAGGAAGAAUUUCCAAACUCAAUGGGUGGUUAACACACAUGCUUGUAGACAUGGUAACCAGACCAGCGAGGGAAUAUGUCCAAGUUGCCCUCUCUACAGAGAAGCCAAAGUGUCAGGGCUUCAAGAGCUCAGCCCUAUUAUCCAUUGAGUAGGCCCACAAGAUGCCGUUACUGUGUGUGGGCUUGCUGUCCUGUGUGUGGAGACAGAUAUGAUGCUGCCCUGGUCCUCUGGACCGUGGAGCUACAACGGAUCCUGCCUAGGAGCCACACACGUUGUGUGGAUAACCUAAUCAGCCUGGAUUACAGGCCCUAAUCCAGGUGAGGGAGAGGUGUCAGGGAACGCCUGGGCAUCAGGGAACGGCAGGGCUUUCUGCCUUAGUUCUGCACACAGCGCUUGCUGGGAUGGGAGGUGUAAGGUAGCCUUCAGGGAGAUAUAGGAAGAGUCUCUGAAAGACUCUCGGUUGGUGCAUGCCACUUCAGGUGGCAUGCCUCGGCGGUCC